RNAcentral lists this ribosomal RNA (81 nucleotides) under Paenibacillus arenilitoris. Its description in RNAcentral is "Bacterial large subunit ribosomal RNA". It matches the Rfam family "Bacterial large subunit ribosomal RNA", at positions 2844 to 2925 of the family's 2925-position model. The record is from Rfam by way of RNAcentral. Lineage: Bacteria; Bacillati; Bacillota; Bacilli; Caryophanales; Paenibacillaceae.
ACGACGAGGUUGAUAGGUUCGGGGUGGAAGCGCAGCAAUGCGUGCAGCUGACGAAUACUAAUCGGUCGAGGGCUUAUCCUA